This 250-nucleotide unclassified non-coding RNA is filed under the name plant metagenome. Its description in RNAcentral is "partial contains small subunit ribosomal RNA, internal transcribed spacer 1, and 5.8S ribosomal RNA". The stretch from base 205 to 250 matches the Rfam family "5.8S ribosomal RNA", at positions 1 to 46 of the family's 154-position model. The record is from RNAcentral.
GUAGGUGAACCUGCGGAAGGAUCAUUAAUGAACCUUUGAGGAAUUGAGCUGGUUCUUACAAGUGCUCGUCCUCUUAUCCUUUAUACACCUGUGCAUCUUUUUCAAGGGAGAGAUUAGUAGGUCGCUUGCGGCUGAAGGUCCUUCCUUUGUUUCUUACAUACACUUUAUUUAAUCAUUGGAAUGUAAUUUAUGAAAAUAAAAUACAACUUUUGACAACGGAUCUCUUGGCUCUCGCAUCGAUGAAGAACGC